AAGCACUUGAGGCUGCUCAAUAUACACAAAUGUAAAAGAAGAAAAGAAAAGAGUUUUCCUGUAUAUGGUUUUAAGAGCAAUGGAAUAAAUAUGGUUCCUCAAAAUUACAAGUUGAACUUAAACAACACUAUAAAAUCUGACCAAAAUGCAAGUAUAAUGAGUCACAUGUCCAAACAUCAGAGCCUUUUACAUGUCUUCACUGGUAAACUAGCCUAUAAUUUAUCACUGGUGGAUGACGGCUGAAUGAUCCUCUAAGAUCAAUACUCAUCUUAGAUUCAGCAAAGCAUACAGCCUCACUACUGCUUGCCAAAACCCUUCUUUUUAAGGAGUGCCAAAGCCUUCCAAGCCCAAUAAGAGAAAUAGCUAUCUUUCCAUUUUGCACCAAUUGACAACAUUGCUCCAGGAGUUCAGGAACAACUUUCGGCUAUGAUCACAUUCAGUCCUCCAGAAUCUUUGGGGAGAUUAACACGUUUCGAAAUUUACUACAUUAAUCACUUGAUGCAUUCCACCUGCAUUGUUAAAUCCUUGAUUCCUGCAUCGUGCAAUAUGUGUGAAACCUGUGCCUUCAUCGAAGCCUUGUCCGUUUCUGAUGAGACAUGGAGAUGGAGAGUCCCAACAAUGUCUGUAUUAGUAAAACUCCAAACACGCAAGUUCUGAAUGCCACGUACUCCCUUAAUCUUCAUAAUAUCAUUUACGGCUACUCUCAGAUCUUGCUCAUGAGCCCUAGGAACUCUUUGAAGCAGAAUUUCAGCAGAGUUCCUGAGUAAUGGAAUAACUGAAGACACAAUCAAAACAGAAAUAAAAAUUGAGCAGGCAGGAUCAGCAACAAGCCAUCCUUUGUACUUAAUUAGGAGGGUGGAUAUAACAACUCCAACACUUCCCAUUGUGUCUGCCAGUACAUGCAAAAAUAUUCCCUCCAUGUUGUGGUCAAUGUGGUGAUGGUGGCGUUUUUGUGAUUCCUCUUCAUUAGAUAUCUGUUGGGAACAACUAUUUCUCAAGGAAGAAUUUCUUUUAGAGUCUGAAUGGUAAGAGUGGCUAAGUGUAUGGGGGAAAUUCCCAUGGGCGUGGUGAUGGUCAAGGGGUUCAUGAUCAUGAGAAUGGUUAUGGUGAGCAUGGUCAUGGUGAGCAUGGUCAUGGUGGUCAUGGUCAACGUGACUGUGAUUGUUGCAGUGGUGAUCAUGAGUAUGGUGAUGGCCAUUAUGGCAAUUGGAGCUCCCACGACCCUGGUGGUCACAGUGCUCAUGUUCACCAUGGUCACAGGGGCUAGUCAAUGCCUUGUCAUGGCAGUCAUGGGAAACAGUGAUACAUUCAUGAUGAUUUUCAUGACCUUCAUUAUGAUUUGAAUGUUGGUGAUGGUGGUGAGUGUGGGAGUGGGAGUGGGAGUGGGAUUGGGCGUGGGAGUGGGAGUGGGAGUGAGAGUGAGAGUGAGAGUGAACGUGAGGGUGAGCGUGAGCGUGCUUGGUGUUGCCGUAUACAGAGAUGAGUUUGUUUGGAUCUGCAUCUCGAUCUGGACCACUCGAAGGAUCGUGAAGGUCACUACCACCGACGCCCCCACCAAAAGAUGAAGAUUCAUGUCCUGCCAAAUGCAGAGA
RNAcentral lists this unclassified non-coding RNA (1592 nucleotides) under Hevea brasiliensis (rubber tree). The record is from RNAcentral. Lineage: Eukaryota; Viridiplantae; Streptophyta; Magnoliopsida; Malpighiales; Euphorbiaceae.